GCCAAAUUAAAGAAGGAUGUGAAGGUUAGGCUAAGAAGUGUGAUGAGCUUUAUUUAGGUAAUAGGCAAUGAGGAGAAAUUGAAACAUGAAGGAACAUAAUUUGAGGUGUGAUUAUUUGAGUUUUUAAAAUAUUAUCACUGUGCAUCAGAAUGGGUUAGGGAAGGCUUAAAUCCUGGAUGCUGGCUCAGCACCUAUUAGAGCAAUUAAAAUGAGAAAUGAUGCAGACUAAACUAGAAUUUCAGGUAAAAAUGGGAAAAAUAGGCGUUAAAAAAUGGUAUAAACGUUAAAAAACUACACUUGACUGAGUUAGAAUAUGGAGGAAAAGGAAGUAUGGAGAUCAAAAGAAAACAUCAGGAUUUGGGAGCUUGGACACAGGGGAAUGACAACGUAAAGGGAUUAUUUCAAAGAUAAUUUGGCAUAGACACUUCUAGACUCUCCUCUUCAUCUGUGUGUGGGUUUUGCUUUUCCAUCUUUUAUGGAGUAUGAUUUACUUUCAAAUCGCCUCUGAAGAAACCUAUUAGUCAGUCAACUGCAGAAAAACUUCUCCAUAAUAUCUACCUGGAAUAUAUCUUGCUUCCAUUCACCUUCUUCCUUUGUCAAUGACUCUCAGGAGGAAUACAGUCUUUGUCAGUCAUAAAGGAAGGAAGAGUCAAUGACAUAGGAUCCCAAACACGGCUAAAAUGUCUCAUAUCUAAUGCUGUACUCCCCCUCUUAACCAAAAUUUGUGUCAGGAAAAGGCACAAAACUCCACCAAAGGAUUACGGUACCUUAAUCCAAGGAAGUUGUAUAGAGGCUAGUAUUUAAAAUUGUCAUUUUGAUAGGCCCCACUAGUGGAUUUUAUCCCCUGUUAGGUUGGACAAUCCUCAGUAUAUACACCUUACUACACAAAGUGAAAAAUUAUGUGGUACACAAGACAGAAGAAAAGCCAAACAUACAAGAAACAAAGCAUUCAACAGAAGAUUCAGAGAUGACCCAGAUAUUGAAACUAAAUGGAAAUGCCAAUUCUCAAGCUCAUAUGUAAUUUCAACUGGAUUUUCAAAUGCAAAAUAAGUUGAAUCUCUACCUUAUGCCAUAUAUAAAAAUUAACCCCAAAUGGACUGAAAACAUAAAUAUAAGCAUGAAUAUUAACACUUUUGGAAGAAAUCAUGGGGUAAAUCUUCAUAACCCUGGAUUUGGCAACGAAUUCUUAGUUAUGAUAUCAAUAACAUAAAUAUGGAUAAAUUGGAUUUCAUCAAAAUUAAAAGCUUGUAUGUACCAAAAAUGUUAUCAAAGAAGUAAAAUGACAAUCUAGAAUGGAGGAGAAAAUAUUUGUGAAUCAUAUCUC
Molecule: long non-coding RNA, 1324 nt
Filed under: Homo sapiens (human)
Lineage: Eukaryota; Metazoa; Chordata; Mammalia; Primates; Hominidae
Description: HSALNT0327789
Source: RNAcentral